RNAcentral lists this ribosomal RNA (417 nucleotides) under Paratrochosina amica. RNAcentral describes it as "partial 16S ribosomal RNA". The stretch from base 40 to 367 matches the Rfam family "Bacterial large subunit ribosomal RNA", at positions 2074 to 2646 of the family's 2925-position model. The record is from RNAcentral. Lineage: Eukaryota; Metazoa; Arthropoda; Arachnida; Araneae; Lycosidae.
AUUAAAAUUAUCUUAANUGUAAAAAGACAUUUAUAAAAAAAAAAGACNAUAAAACCCUAUUGAACUUAACUUUAGUUUAACUGGGGCAGUUAAUUAAUUAUUACUUUAAUUUUUUUUAGAAAAAAAAAUAGACCUAAUAUAAUUAACAAUAUAAUUAAGUUACCAUAGGGAUAACAGCGUAAUAGAAUUUUAAAGAUCUUAUUAAAAAUUAAAUUUACGACCUCGAUGUUGAUUUAAUAACCUUAUUAUAUAUAUAUAUAUAUAUAUAUAAACCACGCAAUAGUAAAUAAAGGAAGUCUGUUCGACUUUUAAAAAAUUACAUGAUUUGAGUUCAGACCGGUGUAAACCAGGUCGGUUUCUAUCUUUUAAACCAAUUUCUUCUAGUACGAAAGGACCUAAGAAAUUAUAUUAUUAUAU